ACACCUUCUACCCCUAUAAAUAAUAUCAAAUUAAAACAUUUUAACAUCUACUUCUCUCCCACAACCCAAAACAAAAGUACUAUAAAGGAAAUAUAAAUAAUAUAAAGUAGUGAAUUACCCGCGUACCUUGUGCAUUAUGGUUUUACAAGCACAUAAUUAAAAAUAAACUCCCGAAUACUACACGAGCUGCUCUCUUAUUGCUAAGAGCCCACUACUAGUUGUGGCACCAACUUUAGAAAAUAAGGGGGCAGAGGCUACAUACCACACGCGCUAGAAUAUUGCUGGUUAUCAGUAAAAUUUAUUAAUUAAAACAUGUGGAAAAAUCUACAUUGUAAGGUUCCAGAGGAUAAGCCCUGAAACCAAAAGCUAAUUAAUUAAAAAUAUAAAAAUUCUUAGGCCUAAAAACAGCCAUUUUCAGUACUUUACCGUCCUGAAUAUCAAAUUCAUAAACUCAAAUGCCCCAUAAAACUGAAAUCUAAGUUAAAUUCCUUAACUUAGCAUAUUAUGUAAAAAUAAGUAUUAGAAACAAUAUUACACCUCAUUUUUUAAAUUUAUCCCAAUUACACCAACAAACGCUUAUAAGGAACUCGGCNAAUAUCUAUUUU
Molecule: ribosomal RNA, 605 nt
Filed under: Allolobophora chlorotica
Lineage: Eukaryota; Metazoa; Annelida; Clitellata; Crassiclitellata; Lumbricidae
Description: partial 16S ribosomal RNA
Source: RNAcentral